AGCAGUAGCACGGUAAUACGGAGGGUGCAAGCGUUAUCCGGAUUUAUUGGGUUUAAAGGGUCCGUAGGCGGACUUAUAAGUCAGUGGUGAAAGCCUGUCGCUUAACGAUAGAACUGCCAUUGAUACUGUAAGUCUUGAGUAUAUUUGAGGUAGCUGGAAUAAGUAGUGUAGCGGUGAAAUGCAUAGAUAUUACUUAGAACACCAAUUGCGAAGGCAGGUUACCAAGAUAUAACUGACGCUGAGGGACGAAAGCGUGGGUAGCGAACAGGAUUAGAUACCCCAGUAGUCCCUGUCUCUUAUACA
This 303-nucleotide ribosomal RNA is filed under the name uncultured bacterium. RNAcentral describes it as "partial 16S ribosomal RNA". It matches the Rfam family "Bacterial small subunit ribosomal RNA", at positions 507 to 808 of the family's 1533-position model. The record is from RNAcentral.